ACCUCAAGCACAAGGGCCAGAGAAGGACCCAGGGUAUAAAGCACGCGCUCGCUAUCCACUCGGUCCUUCUGUUUCCUCGCGCUUGAUGGUUCUGUACGAAGCAUCUCGGACAUUGAAACACGUGUCCCAACACAAAAAGGAAUCAUUACGACCGAGAAGGAUGAGUAACUUUCUUUUUGAAUCUACUAAACCGACGACUGAGGUUCCACGGUGCUACGGGAACGCCAAUCCUGGAUUUGGAUGAUGUAAGUGCAAAAUGAGAUUGCAACAAUGAGAGUAGCGACCCCAAGUGGAUCCUGUGAGUCCUGACGAAACGUCUCAUACCUGAAGAGAAAAGCGUGUGGCUCUGUUAGCCAUGAGCAGAUGGUUGUCAAUUUGGACUUGCGGAACAGAUUCUUCUCUAGUUCAUGUACUGCUGGCUGGUUGACGUCUCUGCAAAUCACACAUUACAGAAACCUGGCUCAAGUCCUGAUUCUUCUGUCGGUGGUCACGUGGCCCGGGUUCCUACUUGAGAAUCCUGGAAUCUCGGAGGUUUAGCUCCUGAAAUGGAGGAACUGCAAUCGCCCAUGUUUUAAUAGUUGAUUCCUGAGUGCAAGGUGCAUGUUCAUUUUAAAAUGUACUUGUUUGAGUUUGGACAACUGUGAUUAAAUGGUUUAAAAAAAAAAAAAAAAAGACAUCUGCUUUGUUGUUCUAUCCUAACCUCACUUGUUUGCAAUAAACUAGAAUAGUGCUUCUCCACUCCAAUAAACAUUAAGAUUCACCCUUAUGCCGAGUCAUGCUACAAAAUAUUGGGUGAUUUAACUUUUUGUAAAUUGUCAGUCAGUUGCGUCAACCUCGCAAGCACAGGAAAUGGGACAAAUGCAACCGUUAGUUGUGUUCCUGUGCCUUUUGGAACUGUUAAGUGCGUACUUCCUACCCGCAAACAAUGCAUAGCUAAUAUAAUGUUGCAAAAAACGGUAUUUAUACCAGAUUUGAUCUUGUUUAAGCACAACUAACGUUAGGUUUUUCGUGUAUGUGUAUAUAUAUAUGACAAAUUCAUUUUAUAUGUAGGACAUUAAUGAAUAUGAAGAGGCGUGUAUAUCGCUUCUGCGGUUAAAAACAGAUGUUCUAGGUGUGGCAUCCCUUCAACCCUUUGGUUCAAAGCCAAUAAAAAUGUGCCUCUACAUUAAAAGAUUUACGUGCACACGUUCUUCAAAAGCUCUCCCCUUUGAUGCUUAGAUCUAGAAUAUAGCAGUACAGUUAAGGGGGUAUUUUAUCCCGAACGGGGAUAACUUUGCUGCGACAACGCUACAAAGAAAGGUUCCGUUUAUUUUGAAAGGUGGGACAACCCGGUAUUCCGGCGUCGACUCUCGUUUCAGGUAGAGGUGAACCUCUCUGUCUAGUUCAGUUCCGUUUUCUAUCAUUCUGUUUUGGCGAUAUAACACUACAUUUAUUCGGUUGAAACACUUUUAACUACGACGCCGACGUUGUGACCGCAGCACACAGGAACUAAUGGAACUAAUGUUAUUGCGUGGCGAGUUGAUUUGAUGCUAACUAAGAGAGCUAGCUGCGAUAGGACCGAGGAACAAUAGCUUGGAGCUUAGAUCGCCGGAGGUGCAUAAACCAGAAACUUGUCUCUCUGGUCUCUGUGUGAAGAAGAUUACGUUUACUGUCACGAGUGAAGGCUUCGUCUUGGCUUGGGGCCAUUCAGUGUUUAUUUGCUCAAUGACACUACAUCUUUAUGAUCACACGAACCACAAGAACGCCUUUGCAUAUUUGUCAAGUUUAAAACAAGACAUGUAGACUGCAAAUCUAAUUCAGUAAGUCGUUAUUGGGGUCACCCCUCACUCUGCUGAACUGCUAAGACACGCCCACAGGUGUGUCCGAGAACCAAUGGACAUUUUUCUCAGUCCUGGUGAACUAGUAUCACGACCUUAUAACCACCACACUGGCAUUCAGUUCAUGCUUUUUUUUUCUAUUUGCUCAAACAGCUUCUGAGCGAGAGCUGAGAAAUAGUCAAGUGUCUUUGUAAACGGCGCCAACGGGCUGAGUGAGAAACAUGACGGCGUUGGUCGGCAGGGCGCUGGGCUGGGUGUGCUCGUGGGGCAGGAUCACAGGAUCGGACAAAACAAAAGGAUUUGAAGACGACGAACCCAGAAAAUGCCACAGCAAACAGAGCUCCAAAGGAUGGACGUCUUGGAUCUGGGGCGGGUGGAAAUACCAGAAGGACCAAAGUAGUCCAGUGGAAGAAUUUUGGGAGGCCCAGGAGAAGAUUCAACCCCUGCAAAUCGCAGAUGUCCGCGCAGGAAAGCAGGAGACAGGACACGUUGUCAGGUGGUGGAAUAAAUACCUGCCCACGUCUUACAGUUUGUGGCCAAGAAAAACAGAGUCAAACACACUACGACAAGAGAAAUGUCACGGCCGGAAAACGUCUGCGCGGGAUGACGACGACGUUGACGGAGACUUUAGAACGCCACCUCCGUCUCCUACCUUCUUCUCUCUCACCCGGUCUCCUUUUCGACUCUUCGCACACGGCUGGAAAGUAGAAAUUCUUUCGGAGCACUACGAGAUCUGCUUCAAUUUCCUCCGCCAUUUAUUUGACCUGUUUGUCGUCGGCUUCCUCUGGACGGUGUCGCCACCGACCAAGCUGAUACUGGAGGUGCUAGGAGUCCAGGGAGCGCUGAGGCUGUGGAUUCAUGGGAUGGCCAUGUUUUUGGUCUCUACAGUUGGAAUGGCCGGAUUGCUUGGGUUAAUCCAGGAGUAUCUCCCUCAGUUUGCGCUGAUCUACGGCAUCAUCCAAGCUGCAGUGAUCUCGGUCAGUGUGCGACAGAGUGUGAUGUUGGACGUGGAGGACAAGAAGGAAAAAGGGGACGAGGAAAAGGGGACGAAUGAAAUGACUGACGAGUCGCUGCAAAAUGAGAAUCUUGUGUCUCCUGUGGACAAGAUGAAGAGAAGUUAAUUUAAUGAUGCUGAGAAGUUCGCUGACCAGGUGUUUGACGCCACAAAAAAAUGGACCUCUGCAAAGACUGACUCACUCCACCACUUUUGUUGUUGCCACGUGGCUCAAGUCGUGUUGCACAUUUAUUACAAAAGUCAUAUAAAUCGUAGAAGCAUCACUUUAUGUUUUAACACUAUGGCUCCGACCGUGUCGGGUGUCCGUUCUACUUGUGGUAAUACAUCACACUCACGUUGACAACGGAACACAGCUUGCCUCAUUAGCUACGCUAAUCUUGAUCAGAUGCAGUGCAAUCCUUGAAGGUUUAGAACACUUUGUUGAAUUUGACGUUUUCACGCUAAAGUUCGGAGUUUCUGAGAAGCUUUAUUCCGAAUCUGCCGAUGAGCUUUUUUUUUUUUUCUGCCACCACAAGUGUACACUAGCAAACGAGCGGAACUGUUAUCUCCAGACCGCUGAGCCCUGAAGGUUUUUUUUUUUUUUCUGUGCUCACUUCCUGUUGACCAAAGUUUCAAAAUAAAGGCGGUCUGGCACGUUGAUCUGUUCUGAAGCUUAACACGUGAGUGUACUUCCGCUGUCGUACAUAGCCCGGAUCAGUUUAAAUAAACUGAUGUGUCUUAUUUGAGCUUUUACCUGUUGAUUAGCUUUAGUUUUUCCUACUUCUUGUUUCAUUCUCAAUCUCGGACUUGCCAAAAGUCUGUCGUUGAAGGACGUGCACAAAUUUUUCCUGUUGCGUCAACACACAGUUUUGUGCGAUUGAAGCCAACACCUGAUUAUAUGUCGUGAUCAUGCUGCUCUGUAUUUACAGUAGGUAGGUCUGCAUCAGACUUGUGACAACAUGUUCACUCCAGUUUGAGGCCCUGAAGGGUAGUUUAAAAAUAUAUUAAUAUAAGCAAAGUAUAACUUUUUUUUUUUUCUUUUUUUUUAAUCCGGGGUCACCACAGUGGUGGUCCUCAAAGAGAUUUGGAGUUGUUAAGCCAGAUGCUUAGUGAUACACUUCUCCCCUACCGCUGGUCCACCCUUCACCUAAACACCUAAAGAUUUGGUCUAUUGAAUACUUUGUAGAAGUCUUAUGUAAUAUCACUUUUUGAAAGCUGAUAGCGAUCAAUAAAAGAGCCUGAACGUCAGACUGACCCUCUCUCCAUCGUGUCCUCCUGACUUACCCACCUGUGCAGUUCGGCACGACACCUUCCAGUGUUUUGCUAUGGUGGAUUUAGACACAAUGUCAGAGGAUCAAACAUGUCAUUUCCCUGCAUUCUCCUCUACUGCGCACGUUUAUGCGUCUUGAGAACGGAAGGUUGAUCAAACAUCAGAAGAGUUACCAAGUUAGCAUUUGAUUGUAAAUUAUCUUUUUUUUUUUUUUACUUAAUUUCUGAUUCAGAUAUCAAACGCUAUUGAAAUGUGCAGCUGUUUUUCCCCAAAAAAAAAAAUUUUUUUAGGUCACGUCACAUAUCUCUGUCUGUGACAUUUUUUUUUUUUAAAAGCUAUUCCAGCAUAUUUGACAAACCCAGGCAUUGCGUUAUUGAGUUUUCAUUACUGGAUAAUUAUUUUGAUAUUACAUAAUUAUGCUAGUAUUGGUUGGCCAAUAUUAUUGGACAUGGCUAGUAAUUAGGAUAUACAAACGUGACAAAUGUUUUCCAAGCAAAGUGGUCCGGCUUAUGGCUUCAAGGAAUGGUGGUUCUUCAUUCUAAGCCUCGCAACUAGGGAUGUCCGAUAACAUGGGCCGAUCGACAUUAACAUAAUUAUGUCAUAUUUGUAAGAAUCGUUAUCGGUUUUUCCUUACGAUAAUGAAACCACAAUAACGCAACGCCUCAGUUUUGCAAAAUAUACUUGAAUCGCUUGCAGGGUCCAGAGACGUUUACGUACCUCAGUUUUGGGGGGGCAAACGGCUGCAUAUAUAUCGUUAUCCAUUGAUAUCGGAAUCGGAAAUGAGAUGUUUGGACAAUAUCAGCAUAUCGGAAAUCCCCGCUCACAAUCAAAACAGAAGCUCUGAGAUGGCAUUUUUAAAGCCAUAACACGCAAAACACUCCCACUUCACAAUCACCUCAUUGAAUUUGUAUGAGUCAAGCACAUGGUGCUGUCACGUGUUUAAAGUUUGCUGACAAUUAGCAUGACGUUUGUGUCUGUACACACCUCUGUUUUAGCCUUAAGUUAUCAUUAAUGGGACAGCAGACCAAAGCUGAGAACGAAAGCUCUUGGCAUUUUUGAAUGAAUGUUUUGGGUACACAAGUACACAACAGUCCAUUCUAUGAAACCUGUUUUUUGUUUUUUUUUUUCAUAAUUUGCUAAAGCAUGUUAUACAGAGAAAAAAAAAAUGUAUAAUAUAAUUUAAUAUAUUCCAGAAUGAUCAGGUAACGUUUUUUAAAGAACAUGUCAGACAAAUUGCAUGGUUAGGUACGCAGCUACACUUUAAAUGUCCGUGUAUGAUAAUAUUCAAAUGGCAACAGUGUUUUAAUUCUGAGGCAGAACUGCAGCGUCGACGUACGUAUCUGCAUUGGCAACUUUUGUGACAAUCUACAGUAUUUCUUGGCUUUUCAGUAUUUGGUGUUCACUUUCCUGAUGGUACAGUUUGAAAACAGUCGCUGGUUUUUUAUGUCAAAACGCAACCGCGGCGCUGCGGUUGUUGUGAAUGCUGUCAUUUGAGAAUUUGUAGUAUAUAGUCAUUGACUUCACUAAGAAGGUCUGUGGUUACAGGCAGUGCACGCUUUUAUGCUCUGAACAAUUACAUAUUAAGUCAUUGUUGCGUACACGUGCAGAUAUGGACAGUUAAGAGUAUUUUUUAUGACAUCACCUGCUCCAGUUUGUAGAAGGAUUGUCAGGCCGUUAGUGGACUGGACCAUUUUAUUCCUCGUCCUCUAGAGUUGGAACAGUCUCUUCUGCAUUUUAUUACUAAUGGUUGUUUUUUUUUUUUUUUUUUUUUUCCUUAAGUUUCUAUCGCCGUGAUAUUAUUCUCUGUCAAGUGAAGGGUAAUUUUUCUACAAGUGAAAGCCUAUCUGCUGUAACGUAGUUUGGAUUACAGACGCUGCAUAACUCUAAGCGCCCCCCUCCUCACUCGGAAGAACUAACUGUUGUGACUCAAACUAUGAAUACGUAACACUGAAGUUGGAUGAUGACCACUGGCUAAAUAAAAUGGGGUGAACUCUC
Cynoglossus semilaevis (tongue sole) is the source of this 6076-nucleotide long non-coding RNA. RefSeq lists it as uncharacterized. The record is from RefSeq and is a predicted model, not a curated record. NCBI's taxonomy places the organism in Eukaryota, Metazoa, Chordata, Actinopteri, Pleuronectiformes, Cynoglossidae. The transcript is spliced from 8 exons.